UAGGGAAUCUUCGGCAAUGGGGGGAACCCUGACCGAGCAACGCCGCGUGAGUGAAGAAGGUUUUCGGAUCGUAAAGCUCUGUUGUUAAGGAAGAACGAGUGUGAGAAUGGAAAGUUCAUACUGUGACGGUACUUAACCAGAAAGGGACGGCUAACUACGUGCCAGCAGCCGCGGUAAUACGUAGGUGGCAAGCGUUGUCCGGAUUUAUUGGGCGUAAAGCGAGCGCAGGCGGUCAAUUAAGUCUGAUGUGAAAGCCCCCGGCUCAACCGGGGAGGGUCAUUGGAAACUGGUUGACUUGAGUGCAGAAGAGGAGAGUGGAAUUCCAUGUGUAGCGGUGAAAUGCGUAGAUAUUAAAAAGAAUACCGGUGGCGAAGGCGACUUACUGGGCUCAUUCUGACGCUGAGGAACGAAAGCGUGGGUAGCAAACAGG
Molecule: ribosomal RNA, 430 nt
Filed under: Bacteroidota bacterium
Lineage: Bacteria; Pseudomonadati; Bacteroidota
Description: Bacteroidetes bacterium partial 16S ribosomal RNA
Rfam family: Bacterial small subunit ribosomal RNA
Source: RNAcentral